This 433-nucleotide ribosomal RNA is filed under the name uncultured bacterium. RNAcentral's name for it is "partial 16S ribosomal RNA". It matches the Rfam family "Bacterial small subunit ribosomal RNA", at positions 29 to 507 of the family's 1533-position model. The record is from RNAcentral.
AACGAACGCUGGCGGCAGGCCUAACACAUGCAAGUCGAGCGGACCUUUCGGGGUCAGCGGCGGACGGGUGAGUAACGCGUGGGAAUAUGCCCUUCUCUACGGAAUAGUCCUGGGAAACUGGGGGUAAUACCGUAUACGCCCUUUGGGGGAAAGAUUUAUCGGGGAAGGAUUAGCCCGCGUUGGAUUAGGUAGUUGGUGGGGUAAUGGCCUACCAAGCCGACGAUCCAUAGCUGGUUUGAGAGGAUGAUCAGCCACACUGGGACUGAGACACGGUCCAGACUCCUACGGGAGGCAGCAGUGGGGAAUCUUAGACAAUGGGGGCAACCCUGAUCUAGCCAUGCCGCGUGAGUGAUGAAGGCCUUAGGGUUGUAAAGCUCUUUCAGCUGGGAAGAUAAUGACGGUACCAGCAGAAGAAGCCCCGGCUAACUCCGUG